Molecule: unclassified non-coding RNA, 294 nt
Filed under: Hevea brasiliensis (rubber tree)
Lineage: Eukaryota; Viridiplantae; Streptophyta; Magnoliopsida; Malpighiales; Euphorbiaceae
Source: RNAcentral
GCUCUGUUUCAUUCCUAAUAUCUGAUACUCAUCCUUCUGAUUAAGCGAGCCACUUCUUUUAAAACUAUGUUUUGAGUCCAUCCUAUCUACACUACCACCAUGGCGAGGACUCCCCACAUUCAAGCUACCAUUACAGCUUUCCCCCACACCAUGAAAACCAUUUACUGUAGGAUGAGCAUCAGCUGUGCUUUCUGUGGAUGGGUCACAAGUGCUACCACUAUUACCUGUGUCAACAGAGGAUUCAUUACCAUGCUUGUAUUUCUUGCUCUGACUCCUAAUACUUGCACGCACUGA